RNAcentral lists this long non-coding RNA (418 nucleotides) under Rosa chinensis. Its description in RNAcentral is "sRNA RchiOBHm_Chr2g0090131". The stretch from base 1 to 95 matches the Rfam family "Small nucleolar RNA Z43". Lineage: Eukaryota; Viridiplantae; Streptophyta; Magnoliopsida; Rosales; Rosaceae. The record is from RNAcentral.
GGACAAUGAUGAUUUGUGUUAGGUCUCGUUCGUCGUAAUGUCUCUUCUGGGACUUGCCGACUAUCGUGAUAUAUCACCACCCAUAGUCUGAGUCCUUGUUUUAUAUCCAAAAUUUAUAUCGACCUCAAUGGAUUAUUGCUUUUCUGCUUUAAUUUGCUGAUUUCAUUGCUCUUCUUGAGCAAUUGAUCUAACCUAGUGAAGUAGUGAUGUGAGCAGAAGAGAAAAGUCAUUCAGGAGGGACAUUUGAUCAAUAUCAGCUUAACUAUCAUACUUGGUUGUAGCGGACAUUUUGGAACAAAUUCACUUAACGAAACCAAUUUGAAGCAUCGAGGGAAUCAUUUUGAGCUAAAUAAUUGUCGACAUGAACCACAACUGAUUUCAAUAAACUUGAGCAGGUAGAAAUAACCCCCAUAUUAGG